CACCCCUCCCCGCACGCCCCCAGGGGUGGCGGUGAUGCAGCUGGGGACCUGGGAAGAUCGGGACCGCGAAGGCGGCGACGCUGUUCCCAACUUGCCAAGAGGCGCUGGACUCGAUUGGCGCGCAGAUCCUCCCCGCGGGCUGGGGGCAAGGCGGGCGCCGGGCUGGAGAUGGUCAGGAUGGCUUUGCUCCUGCUGCCACCCCUGUGGCUUCUGCCUCUCACUGGGGGAUCCCAGAGGGCUGAGCCCAUGUUCACUGCGGUCACCAACUCAGUUCUGCCCCCCGACUAUGACAGCAACCCCACCCAGCUCAACUACGGAGUGGCAGUGACGGAUGUGGACCACGAUGGGGACUUCGAGAUCGUCGUGGCAGGGUA
RNAcentral lists this long non-coding RNA (374 nucleotides) under Rattus norvegicus (Norway rat). RNAcentral describes it as "long non-coding RNA NONRATT003782". Lineage: Eukaryota; Metazoa; Chordata; Mammalia; Rodentia; Muridae. The record is from RNAcentral.